UACGUAGGGUGCGAGCGUUGUCCGGAAUUACUGGGCGUAAAGAGCUCGUAGGUGGUUUGUCGCGUUGUCCGUGAAAACUCACAACUCAAUUGUGGGCGUGCGGGCGAUACGGGCAGACUGGAGUACUGCAGGGGAGACUGGAAUUCCUGGUGUAGCGGUGGAAUGCGCAGAUAUCAGGAGGAACACCGGUGGCGAAGGCGGGUCUCUGGGCAAGUAACUGACGCUGAGGUACGAAAGCGUGGGGAGCAACAGG
This 253-nucleotide ribosomal RNA is filed under the name uncultured bacterium. Its description in RNAcentral is "partial 16S ribosomal RNA". It matches the Rfam family "Bacterial small subunit ribosomal RNA", at positions 524 to 775 of the family's 1533-position model. The record is from RNAcentral.